UGGCGCAUUAGUUUGGCACCUACCGCGUGCCCGCUGCACCCCGUCAGCCGUAGACAUCACAGGCAGCGUUCCAAGUGUUUGAUAUGCGUUCAAGUUUCACAGCCUCGCCAUUCUCAUCCCCACUUUACGCACGAGAAAGCGGGCACAGAGGAGUCAAGAAAUCGGAGGUCGGGUCCAGGGACGGCCGAGCGACGCCAGCCUCCAGCGGCUGCGGCUCCGUGGGGACCAGCGAGGGCAGGGCUGUGCCCGACGCGGAGCUGGCGCGCCCACCUCGCUGUGUGCUUGGGGCGAGGCUCGGGCGUCCCAGCUCGUUUGUGCAGACCCCGGGCCGAAAGCCCGCGGGGGCGGAAGAAAACAUACUUGUCUGUGGUCAGAAUGUAGACCCUCUAAGUGAAGACUGAAGCUCACACAGGCUGACACCAGAGUUGCCUGCGCAAUGGAGAACCAUUAGCUCAAUUUUUUAGAUAAAAAUAAGGGCUGUUGGUCUGGAGAAUGAAUCAGAGGCAGAAGACUGGAAGCGUGAUCAAUCAGGAAACUACUACAAUAGCCCGGAGAGUAGAGAAGGACCUGACUAGACUAUGAGCACCAUGAGGGCAGACUGGAUCCAGGUUCCUGCUGCAGUUCUGGUGCCUAAUUCAGUUCCUCACACAGGGGGAUGCCACAAAACUAUGAAAGAAUGGAAGGUGUUGAAGUGACCAACCAUACGUGAAAUGUGGUCAAGUUUAAAAGCUAGUGAGAAAAUGGUGUGUAUGGUGAUAGCUCAUUCCUGUUGUAAGUAUAUAUGUAUCUACAAUAUUCAUAAUUUUUAAAACAAAAACUGGAAACACAUACAGUGUAAUUAACCCUGGGAGGUAAAAGAAUGAGGACUCUCACCUAAUCUUUAGAUUUAUAGUGUGUUUAAAAUUUUUAACAGAGUUUUGUUUUUCACUAAUAUAUAAAAAGUCAUAUGAUGAAGGUUGGUGUUCCCAUUACCUAGCUUUAACAAUCAUCAACUUACAACAAGUUUUGUUUCAGGCAUACCCCACCCAUCAGCCACCUCCCAUAUUAUAUUGAAGCAAAUCUCCAACUCAUAUCAUUUCUUUCAUAAGUACUUCAGUACAUGUCUCUAAAAGAUAAGGACUAUUUUUAAAAAGUAGCCACAAUACCAUAUCACACCUAAAAAACAACAAUAAUUCUUU
This is a long non-coding RNA of Miniopterus natalensis, 1178 nucleotides long. RefSeq lists it as uncharacterized. The record is from RefSeq and is a predicted model, not a curated record. Lineage: Eukaryota; Metazoa; Chordata; Mammalia; Chiroptera; Miniopteridae.